UACGAAGGGGGGCUAGCGUUGCUCGGAAUUACUGGGCGUAAAGCGCGUGUAGGCGGCCAACUAAGUCGGGCGUGAAAUCCCACGGCUCAACCGUGGAAGUGCACUCGAAACUGGAUGGCUAGAGUCCUGGAGAGGAAGGUGGAAUGCUUGGUGUAGAGGUGAAAUUCGUAGAUAUCAAGCGGAACACCGGUGGCGAAGGCGGCCUUCUGGACAGUGACUGACGCUGAGACGCGAAAGCGUGGGGAGCAAACAGG
This 254-nucleotide ribosomal RNA is filed under the name uncultured bacterium. RNAcentral describes it as "partial 16S ribosomal RNA". It matches the Rfam family "Bacterial small subunit ribosomal RNA", at positions 524 to 776 of the family's 1533-position model. The record is from RNAcentral.